AACGCUGGCGGCGUGCCUANCACAUGCAAGUCGAACGCGAAAGGGGAGCAAUCCCUGAGUAGAGUGGCAAACGGGUGAGUAACACGUGGGUGACCUGCCUUCGAGUGGGGGAUAACGUUCCGAAAGGAACGCUAAUACCGCAUGACAUCCUGCUCUUGGACGAGCGGAGAUCAAAGCUGGGGAUCGCAAGACCUGGCGCUUGAAGAGGGGCCCGCGCCUGAUUAGCUAGUUGGUGAGGUAACGGCUCACCAAGGCAACGAUCAGUAUCCGGCCUGAGAGGGCGGACGGACACACUGGGACUGAGACACGGCCCAGACUCCUACGGGAGGCAGCAGUGGGGAAUUGUUCGCAAUGGGCGCAAGCCUGACGACGCAACGCCGCGUGGAGGAUGAAGAUCUUCGGGUCGUAAACUCCUGUCGAAUGGGAAGAACGUUUCGCGGAUGAAUAAGCCGCGGAAGUGACGGUACCAUUAAAGGAAGCC
Molecule: ribosomal RNA, 481 nt
Filed under: Acidobacteria bacterium KF4-28/2
Lineage: Bacteria; Pseudomonadati; Acidobacteriota
Description: bacterial SSU rRNA
Rfam family: Bacterial small subunit ribosomal RNA
Source: RNAcentral